UUUGAUAAUCGAAUGAUUAUGUAUUCGUUUUUAUUUUGAGAAAAUGAAAAUAUGUAAUACAUAAAUGAGUACAAUACAAGAAACUUAACGCAUACGGAGAUAAAAAUGAGUACAAUGUUUAAACAAAGCGAGUACAAAAUUGGUAUAGUGUUGAGUACAAAACAACAACUUGAGUAUAACAACAAAUUGAAGCUUAUCCCCACUGUAGUAACCAAAUUUCGCCCGGGUGUGAGAUUCAUAUCAAUGUCAUAUCGUUAAACAACCCUACCAUCUUUAGUGAGGAUUUAACACCGAGCCAAUCUUAUCCAUCCAUCUCUGUGUGACAGUUUGAUAUUUUGUCCCAAUUUGAUAUCAGGCCUGUUUCUCGGACUCGUUCCUCAGGCCCAUGUUUCAAGUCCGUUUUUUUCCUGCUCUAAAAGGCAGCCACCUCUUUAUCUUGUCAGAAUGCAGUGUUGAUUUGAAAUUGAUAUAUGAUAGAGGCAACAACCUUUUUCAUUCUAUAAAUAAACAUAAUCAAAGGAGAGUUAUUUUUUUAGGCAACCUAAUCAAUGAUAGAACCAUCACUUCUAUCAAGAGAAAUAAGAGCAGAUCGAGAUUGAGGUUUUACCAUUCAGUAGGUUGUUUUUUUUUAAUCUUUUGCUUUCAUUUUUCCUGAGCGAUUCAAGUCGGUGUUUUUUCGUCUUUUCACCUAAAAUUCAACAAAGAACGGUUAGUUUCAUUAUUGGCUAAAACUAAGUCUAAGUCAGGGAUUUUAAAAAGAAAACAGAGUUUUUUUUCUGCACCUGGGUUUCCCUCUCUCUGUUCGUUUCUUCUCUGGUCGUCGGCAGCGGAGUCUCCUUUUCUUUUCUCUCCAUCGAUUCCCCAACAAAAAAAGAAACAAAGUAAAAAAAGACAACUAAGGUCAGAAGGAGUAAUAUAAACGUCAAUCAAACCCUAGAUUUACCGAUCGGAGCUUGUAUGUUAUCGAGGACUCGCCGGAGGCAUCCUUCGAUGACAUGCAAGCCGAAUGUGUGAAAUAAGGAGAAACGAUGGGUAGAAAGGGGAUUUCAGUAUUGUAUCUUUUUUCCUUGUUCUUUUCUUUCUCCGCCACCGUUGUAAGGGGGAAAGCGGAGGAGGGAGCCCUGUGGCUGAGUAAAGAGGGGAAAAAAGGAAGAUAAAAAAGCAGAAAAGGCGGCUAUCAGCGCGACCACCACUGUGGGUGAGAGAAGAGGAGGGAAAGAAGAAGGGAAGUAGAAAGGAAGAGGAGGCAACGACAGCACCGCCGCCUUUUGUGAAGUGGAGAGGAGAAGAAGAAGGAAGAAAGUUGAAAGGAGGAGGUGGCGAAUUGGUGUUUGUGGAAGGUUAAGAGGUUAUUUUAUAUGGCCGAUUAAGGUCACCGAUAAAGUUAUUAAUUUGCCCUUAGUUUUCGUUCAGUAGUGGAAUUUGUGUUCUGGCCUUUUCAUCAUUUCACCUCCCCUACAACAAUCAGGUGCUGUAAGGUUACGAUUUUGCCCCUAGUCUCCAGCGUGCAGACCGAUCAUGGGUAUUUAUCCUUUUUUUUAGUCUCGGGUCGGACCAUGGCUGGUCGGACCGAUUGAUUUG
RNAcentral lists this long non-coding RNA (1581 nucleotides) under Linum usitatissimum (flax). Its description in RNAcentral is "long non-coding RNA (LUSI_LNC005123)". Lineage: Eukaryota; Viridiplantae; Streptophyta; Magnoliopsida; Malpighiales; Linaceae. The record is from RNAcentral.